CCUACGGGUGGCAGCAGUGGGGAAUAUUGGACAAUGGGGGGAACCCUGAUCCAGCCAUGCCGCGUGUGUGAAGAAGGCCCUCGGGUUGUAAAGCACUUUCAGUGAGGAAGAACGCCUGGUGGUUAAUACCCAUCAGGAAAGACAUCACUCACAGAAGAAGCACCGGCUAACUCCGUGCCAGCAGCCGCGGUAAUACGGAGGGUGCGAGCGUUAAUCGGAAUUACUGGGCGUAAAGCGCGCGUAGGUGGCUUGAUAAGCCGGUUGUGAAAGCCCCGGGCUCAACCUGGGGACGGCAUCCGGAACUGUCAAGCUAGAGUGCAGGAGAGGAAGGUAGAAUUCCCGGUGUAGCGGUGAAAUGCGUAGAGAUCGGGAGGAAUACCAGUGGCGAAGGCGGCCUUCUGGACUGACACUGACACUGAGGUGCGAAAGCGUGGGUAGCAAACAGGAUUAGAUACCCCUGUAGUC
This 465-nucleotide ribosomal RNA is filed under the name Vreelandella stevensii. RNAcentral describes it as "partial 16S ribosomal RNA". It matches the Rfam family "Bacterial small subunit ribosomal RNA", at positions 338 to 795 of the family's 1533-position model. The record is from RNAcentral. Lineage: Bacteria; Pseudomonadati; Pseudomonadota; Gammaproteobacteria; Oceanospirillales; Halomonadaceae.